UUUUUUUUUUUUUUGGUGGCACCUUCAAUCAUUUAAAACCAGUACAGUGUAGAAAGUACUUGGUAAAUUAUGGUGCCUGCCACCUGAUGCAGUCUCAGUCCCCUGCUGUCCACAGUUACUGUGAUGAGGAAAUAUUUCCCAGACAGUUUUCAUCGUGGCUGCUUUUACAGGCCCAACCAUUCAGCCUCCAUUGUCCCAGCAAAGCAUAUUAGCUUUAUGUCUUUAGGUUGUCCAGCUUCUGUAAUAGCUUUCAUUUCUGUGCUAAAACACAAUGACUAAAAGUGACUUAUGGAAGAGUUUAUUUUCCUUAGAUGAUGUCCAGAGGGAGAAAAUCCAUAGUAGCAAGGAAAGCAUGGCAGCAGGCAUCUUGAUCAGAAAAGCUGACUGAUCACACUUUGUCACAGAGGAAGCCCAGAGAUCACAACUUUAACUGCAAACCCAAGCCAAGAAUUGAAAUGAAGUGUAGCAAGGCUGUAAGUUCUCAAAGCCUGGCUCUAUCCUCCAGUGAUGCACUUCUUUGACCAGGCUGUGCGUUCUACCCCAUGGCCCUCUUCAAGGUUCAUAACCUCCCCAACAGUAGUACCAUUAUCAGGAAGACUACAUGUUCAAACACAUGCACCUACUGGGGCGUUUCUCAUUCAAACCACAACACAUAAAAACAUUUUUCUCUGAAGGAUGAUAAAGUUUGUCAAAAAUGUUUAUCCAAGGGGGCUGGAGAGAUGGCUCAGUGGUUAAGAGCACUGCCUGCUCUUCCAGACAUCCUGACUUCAGUUCCCAGCUGAACAUACGACUCAACAAUCAUCUGUAAUGGGAUCCGAUGCCCUUUUCUGAAGUGUCUGAAGACAGCUGCAGUGUACUCAGAUAUAUAAAAUAAAUAAAUCUUUAAAAAUUUGUUUAUUCAAAAGACCGAGUACUGACCCAAAAUUAUGAUAAUAUUUUUUUUUCCCUUCCAGCUUCAGCAGCUAAUACAAACCUUACAGAUACAGCAGCAGAAGCCUCAGCCUUCUAUCCUGCAGGCCUUGGAUGCUGGUCUUGUGGUUCAGUUACAGGCACUCACUGCACAGCUCACAGCUGCAGCUGCUGCAGCCAACACACUUACGCCCUUGGAUCAGGGAGUCUCUUUCAACAAGGUAGUGAUUAAAGCUACUGAUAUGUUACAUGUGAACUGAAGGCUAUUAUAUAGAUUCUGCUGUGUAGAUUAUGUUUUAUUACAGACUUGUGUGUUUGCUACUAAUACCUAAUCUGUCUGCCUCAGCCUCCCAAGUACUGUCUGUGUUCUAUCAUUUGCCUUGAUAAAAUAAUCAGUAUUGAAAGUUCAAAGAAAAUUUUCUAGAAGUUAAUAUUAUUGUAUAUUUUAUGUAUAGGCUUAACUAUGGAAAAAGUGUUUUUAAAAUUGAAACUGUUUUAUGAAUGAUUUGUGUUGGUGUGUGUGUGUGUGUGUGUGUGUGUGUGUGUGUGUGAGAGAGAAAGAUAGCCUCAUCAUAGUUGUCCCGAGUGUAUCUUGGAAAUGCUAUGUGUGUGUAUUUACAUAUGCACAUACAAACAUGUAUAUGCAUGUUAUUUCUGUUAUAAUUAGUUUCAUAGAAAAUCAAUCCUGAUUUCUUGGAUAAUGACUUGCCUAUUUAAUCAGUUGCUCCUAAUUUAUUCCUAGUAGGUAGACCACAUUUUAUCAUGAAGUUAUUGCUAGUUAACACUUGGUUAUGGUCCUAGAUGUUUUUUAAGCUACAGUUCCAUAAUCCUUCAUUUUCUACUUGGUAGGUAAUGACAGGUAGAGAUCCCUAAGUCUGAGGCCAGCCUGGUCUACAGAGCAAGUUUCAUGAUAGCCACUACACAGAGAGACUCUGUCAUGAAAAACAGUACUGUGCUUUAGUAGUUGUACUGCCUUGUCAAAAUUGGUUCUGCUCUGGGAUGAUGCCGUAUCCCUCAGUCCUCCAAUGAUUCCUUAACCUCCACAGGAGCCUUAAAACCAGAGAUAGAGCUAAACCAUCUAAAAACGUUUAUACAUACUUGUGUUAAUGCUUAAUAAAUAAAGUAAGCACCGUGAGAAAAGAAGAACCAGUAAUGCAUGAUUGUGAGCUCUGUUGAAAAAUCACAACAGCAAUGUUUUCAGACUUCAUUGUGCACAAAUGAAUGGAGUUGCCUUGAUGACUGUGUGAGGGGACUGCUGUAUGUUACAGUCCUCUAAACAUGUGUUCAGAAUGCCUACUCUACUACAGAAUAAUGUACCAUAGCACAGAACAUUUACUUCGCAUUUCAGUAGCAUUUGUAAGAUGCAUGUUGGAAGCACUUUUUUAAUUCGCCUUUCUCCCUUCCUUAGAAGUUGAUGGAUAGAUUUGAUUUUGGGGAAGAUUCUGAGCAUAGUGAAGAAUCCAAAAAGGAAAUGCCUACUCCUCAACUGUAAGAAUUAUGAUUUUCUUUAUACCCAUGUUUUCUUUUUCUGUUGUUCUAAAUACUGGGUGGAAUGUUAGCAGACUUAAGAGUUGGAGUGAGUUUUUCAUAAGUUGGGUUGUUUCAGGCUCUAAGCACCAAAAUUGUGAGGGGCGGUGGGCUUGUUGUCUUAACAAGAUUAUUUGGACUCUUUUUUCAGAUCUGUGCAAUUGGUUGUGAUAUAUCAAAGUUCCCUAUAAGAAAAUUAAUAAGCAUUAGUAACUCCAGUUGUGAUAUUUUCUUAUAUCUUUGUUGGCUUAAAAUAAUUUAGUUGUAAGAAUAUUUGUAAUAGGUGGACAGAUGCUUCUGUCAGAGUCCACUUCUAGAGUAUUUGCCAAUUUCUGAGAAGUACAUUGAACUAGUUAGAAUUAGGAAUUCUAAGGAUUGGAAUUAUAUGGGCUUUAUUUAUUUCAAUGAAUGGAGUUUGUAUUUUUAUUUAAAUUUGUUGCUUUCUCCCCUUAAAUGGCUGUACAAAGCCCUGUGUUUGUGAGUGUGUUUAUAAAGACCAAUAGGAGAGUAUGAGGUGGAAGUUGAGAGAGAAUGAGUGGGAUCUCACCCAAGCAGAUGUAGCAGAUCUUAUAUACCAGGAUAAUGUGUAAGAAUACAUAAGAUAAAGUACAUUCUUUUGACAUAGGGACUUUCUUGGCAGAAGUUUAAAAAUAGUAUUGUAGAUAGUAAACAGUGAAGUUGAAAGAGCCAUUUGAGGUCAUGUGGAUGAGGGCGCUAAACAGUGUAAGACGUUGUUAAUGGUCCUGAGGGGAGAGUCAGUGCUUUCCCACCUUCCGAGGAAAGAGUUUGUGGACUGUUCUAGUGUGACAUGUUCUGUUGAGCUGAGUUCCUUCAUUUUCUAGACAUCAAUUCAAACGCUGUGUAUUGAAAGAAAAAUCAGUAGACUCCAAUUUCUUUCAUGACAGCAUCUGUCAUAUUUGAAGAUAGAUACCAUUCUUCCCAUAGGUUCAUCUGCUCCAGGUGACAACAGUCUGGAGACCUCUCACCACCCUGCUUGUUCCUUUUAGGGCUCCCUCUUUAUUCUCAUGUCUUACCUUCUAGCACCCAGGAUUACAGGGAUAACCCAGAGUGCAGUUAAAUUAUUAUUUUCUCUUAUCUACACACGUUUCUGUUUACAUACCUCAUAACAUGAUGCUUUUUUAAAGGACACAUACUCUAUAAAGUUUAUGGGCAGUGAUAAUUGUAGAUUUUACACAUCCUGAUUGAUAGGACAUUUUCCACUGUCUCAUGAUUAAACGUGAGUUAUUAACUUGAUAAUGUUUACACGUUUACCUUUUUUGAAACAAGUGUUUGCAGUUGUACAUUACCAUAAUAAAAGUUACUAAUUUAUAUGUAUAGCAUGUCCAUUUAUAUGUGUAGCAUGAGGCAGUGAUGUCAGCUUCGUAACAGAGCAGCUAUAAUGCUUUUUUGUUGAAACGUUAUUGAGUUCUUUCUCUUCUAAUGGGUUGAUGUUUCAGAGUAUUCCACUUUGGUUAUUAAUAUUUCAAAAAGAGAACACUGCAGUAGAGUUCCUUGUGUGAAGUGCUUUUGUGUGUGUGUGUGUGUGUGUGUGUGUGUGUGUGUGUGUGUGUGUUGUUGUUGUUGUCUGCCUGCUUGCUUGCUCUCCGUUCCCUUUUGUCAUCUUAACAUGCAGCUUCACCUUUUGUUUCUCACUCAGCUCUCACGUUUCAGAGUCUGUGAACAACUCCAUCUUCCAUCAGAUAGCAGAACAGCUGCAGCAGCAGAACUUGGAGCAGUUGCGACAGCAGCUCCUGGAGCAGCAGCAGCCUCAGAAGGUCCGUGCUCCCCGCAGUUACUGGGCAUUCCGGGGGACGCUUGAGUGGUGUUCCUUCUUAGUCUUUAGAGCUAUUUGUUCAUCUUUGUUUUGCCAGCUACUUUAUGACCUUUCUAGUGUAUUUCCUUUCAAAGACCUUUAUAGCUGUGCCUAUUA
This 4366-nucleotide long non-coding RNA is filed under the name Mus musculus (house mouse). Its description in RNAcentral is "long non-coding RNA chr17:3167009-3171375". The record is from RNAcentral. Lineage: Eukaryota; Metazoa; Chordata; Mammalia; Rodentia; Muridae.